This 67-nucleotide transfer RNA is filed under the name marine eukaryotic metagenome. It matches the Rfam family "tRNA". Rfam says of the family: Transfer RNA (tRNA) molecules are approximately 80 nucleotides in length. Their secondary structure includes four short double-helical elements and three loops (D, anti-codon, and T loops). The record is from RNAcentral.
AGCGUAGCUCAGUCGGUUAGAGCGCUGGUUUGUGGUACCAGAGGUCACGGGUUCGAGUCCCGUCGCU